RNAcentral lists this ribosomal RNA (253 nucleotides) under uncultured bacterium. RNAcentral's name for it is "partial 16S ribosomal RNA". It matches the Rfam family "Bacterial small subunit ribosomal RNA", at positions 524 to 776 of the family's 1533-position model. The record is from RNAcentral.
UACGGAGGGGGCUAGCGUUAUUCGGAAUUACUGGGCGUAAAGCGCACGUAGGCGGCUUUGCAAGUUAGAGGUGAAAGCCUGGAGCUCAACUCCAGAACUGCCUUUAAAACUGCAUCGCUUGAAUCCAGGAGAGGUGAGUGGAAUUCCGAGUGUAGAGGUGAAAUUCGUAGAUAUUCGGAAGAACACCAGUGGCGAAGGCGGCUCACUGGACUGGUAUUGACGCUGAGGUGCGAAAGCGUGGGGAGCAAACAGG